This 253-nucleotide ribosomal RNA is filed under the name uncultured bacterium. RNAcentral's name for it is "partial 16S ribosomal RNA". It matches the Rfam family "Bacterial small subunit ribosomal RNA", at positions 524 to 776 of the family's 1533-position model. The record is from RNAcentral.
GACAGAGGGUGCAAACGUUGUUCGGAUUUACUGGGCGUAAAGCGCGUGUAGGCGGCUUUGCAAGUCGGAUGUGAAAGCCCACGGCUCAGCCGUGGAAGUGCAUCCGAAACUGCAUGGCUCGAGUCUCGGAGAGGAAGGUGGAAUGCUUGGUGUAGAGGUGAAAUUCGUAGAUAUCAAGCAGAACACCUGCGGCGAAGGCGGCCUUCUGGACGAUGACUGACGCUGAGACGCGAAAGCGUGGGGAGCAAACAGG